This 331-nucleotide ribosomal RNA is filed under the name uncultured eukaryote. RNAcentral's name for it is "partial 18S ribosomal RNA". It matches the Rfam family "Eukaryotic small subunit ribosomal RNA", at positions 1470 to 1796 of the family's 1831-position model. The record is from RNAcentral.
CCCUUAGAUGUUCUGGGCCGCACGCGCGCUACACUGACGAAGUCAGCGAGCAUGUCCUACGCCGACAGGUGCGGGGAAUCUUGUCAAACUUCGUCGUGAUGGGGAUUGAUUAUUGAAAUUCUUGAUCAUCAACGAGGAAUUCCUAGUAAGCGCAAGUCAGCAGCUUGCAUUGAUUACGUCCCUGCCCUUUGUACACACCGCCCGUCGCUACUACCGAUUGAAUGGUUUAGUGAGAUCUUCGGAUUGGCGCCACUGCGGCUCAGCAAUGGGCUCGGUGGAUGCCGAAAAGUUGAUCAAACUUGAUCAUUUAGAGGAAGUAAAAGUCGUAACA